CCUACGGGGGGCAGCAGUGGGGAAUAUUGCACAAUGGGGGAAACCCUGAUGCAGCGACGCCGCGUGAGUGAAGAAGUCAUUCGUUAUGUAAAGCUCUAUCCGCAGGGAAGAAAAUGACGGUACUUGAGUAAGAAGCAGCGGCUAAUUACUGGCCAGCAGCCGCGGCAAUACGUAGGGGGCAAGCGUUAUCCGGAUUUACUGGGGGUAAAGGGAGCGUAGGCGGCAGUGCAAGUCUGGAGUGAAAGGCGGGGGCUCAACCCCCGGACUGCCUUGGAAACUGUAGGGCUGGAGUGCAGGAGAGGUAAGUGGAAUUCCUAGUGUAGCGGUGAAAUGCGUAGAUAUUAGGAGGAACACCAGUGGCGAAGGCGGCUUACUGGACUGUAACUGACGUUGAGGCUCGAAAGCGUGGGGAGCAAACAGGAUUAGAUACCCCUGUAGUC
This 440-nucleotide ribosomal RNA is filed under the name uncultured bacterium. Its description in RNAcentral is "partial 16S ribosomal RNA". It matches the Rfam family "Bacterial small subunit ribosomal RNA", at positions 338 to 795 of the family's 1533-position model. The record is from RNAcentral.